RNAcentral lists this ribosomal RNA (389 nucleotides) under Anaeromyces sp. YQ3. Its description in RNAcentral is "partial 18S ribosomal RNA". The stretch from base 1 to 114 matches the Rfam family "Eukaryotic small subunit ribosomal RNA", at positions 1718 to 1831 of the family's 1831-position model. Lineage: Eukaryota; Fungi; Neocallimastigomycota; Neocallimastigomycetes; Neocallimastigales; Neocallimastigaceae. The record is from RNAcentral.
AGGCUUUUUUCUGGCACAGAAUUUGAUCGCUGAAAAGUUGGGCAAACUUGGUCAUUUAGAGGAAGUAAAAGUCGUAACAAGGUUUCCGUAGGUGAACCUGCGGAAGGAUCAUUAAAAAAUUUCCCACGGAACCUGGUGGGAUAAUAAUAUCCUCCCACCCCUUGGGAAAUUGGUGGUUGGAAAAAAUUUUUUUUAAAAAAAUAUUUAUAAUGUGUCUCUCUGAAAUUGUGAGGAGAUGUGAUGGGAACUUGUGCUUUUCGGGAUAUAUAUUCUCUUGAUUUUUUUAAGAAAAACAUUUUUUUUAAAAAAAACACUUUAUGUUCUUUUGUCUCAAAAAAAUUUUUUAAUAAAAAAUUUUAAAACACCUUUUUAAAAGGGAUCUAUAUAAA